This is a long non-coding RNA of Asparagus officinalis (garden asparagus), 327 nucleotides long. RefSeq lists it as uncharacterized. The transcript is spliced from 2 exons. The record is from RefSeq and is a predicted model, not a curated record. Lineage: Eukaryota; Viridiplantae; Streptophyta; Magnoliopsida; Asparagales; Asparagaceae.
AAACCAAAAGAUCAAUAACAACAAAAUUAUGAGAAUAUUUAAAUGAAUCAAGAUAGAAAACACAAGGUAUGUAAGGAUCUGUAUAAGAUCAAUAACUUGAUAUAAAUAGCAUCAUAACUAUCAGCAACACAAUCACGAUUAGUAAGGACAAUCUACUUAAUUACUUUAUAAACUAGAAGAGUAGUAAGUUCGUCUAUAAACAAAAUAGUAGCACAACCAUUGUCCGCUUAUUUACCAUCUUUCAAAUGUUUAGGCAUGAACAUGAUCAUGACAGAAGAAAGAAAAGAACAGGAAACAAACAUAACACUCAGUUGGACUCAAUAGCAA